CCGAGUUUACAACUCCCAAACCCCUGUGAACAUACCAACUGUAGCCUCGGCGGAUCAGCCCGCUCCCGGUAAAACGGGACGGCCCGCCAGAGGACCCCUAAACUCUGUUUCUAUAUGUAACUUCUGAGUAAAACCAUAAAUAAAUCAAAACUUUCAACAACGGAUCUCUUGGUUCUGGCAUCGAUGAAGAACGCAGCAAAAUGCGAUAAGUAAUGUGAAUUGCAGAAUUCAGUGAAUCAUCGAAUCUUUGAACGCACAUUGCGCCCGCCAGUAUUCUGGCGGGCAUGCCUGUUCGAGCGUCAUUUCAACCCUCAAGCCCAGCUUGGUGUUGGGACUCGCGAGUCAAAUCGCGUUCCCCAAAUUGAUUGGCGGUCACGUCGAGCUUCCAUAGCGUAGUAGUAAAACCCUCGUUACUGGUAAUCGUCGCGGCCACGCCGUUAAACCCCAACUUCUGAAUGUUGACCUCGGAUCAGGUAGGAAUACCCGCUGAACUUAAGCAUAUCA
RNAcentral lists this ribosomal RNA (504 nucleotides) under Fusarium verticillioides. RNAcentral describes it as "eukaryotic LSU rRNA". The stretch from base 149 to 302 matches the Rfam family "5.8S ribosomal RNA". The record is from RNAcentral. Lineage: Eukaryota; Fungi; Ascomycota; Sordariomycetes; Hypocreales; Nectriaceae.